CAUUCCUCACUAAGUGCUGUUAUUGCAGCCAGGGAGGAAUUAGUCACUAUUGCUGAUUUUCAGAACUGAAGUUCUACUCAGUCUUUAGAACCUGGACUUCUCUGAGUAGGAUUCUUGCUGUAUUUUAAUGAUCUGGAAGCUAACCAUCACUGUUUAACAAGUCUUUAGGCUCUUUCUGUGCUUGUAGAUAAAUAUGCACCUCCACCCUGAGACAGGAAUGUAAAAUAGACGGGCUGAUUUAGAAGAAUGUAGAUGAUUAAAGAUCAUGCUUAGGUAAGACUGAAUCCCAAUUUUUAUUUAAAUUCUCAUAGUUUCACCCCAAAAUGAACCUCUGACUAGUUCUGUAAGCAUAUGUUAAAGUGAGUAGCUGACUUUGGAUCUGUCAGUAAGGAAUUAUUGAGAGAGAACGUAGAAUAAAUAAUAGCCAUUGGAAAUAUUGAAUUCAAGUCUCUCCAUUCCAUAUUGAGUGUUCUGAUUACCAGCUUGUAGAGAAAUUUCUGUCUUUAUUUAGCCUGUAAUUAUUCUGUACUUUGAGAAACAAUUUUCAUAAGAGAAUGCCUUGUUCCAGACUAGGUUAUAGCCUGGUUACCAAAACUGUUUCCAUGAGACAGGUGCAUAUCUCCUCAGUCAAAAGACAUAAUGAACCUUACUGUCUUCUAUGUUAAAGGGGCCAGAAUUAUGCAAAACACAAGUGAAGCAUCACUUCCAGUUAAAGUACUCGAAAUCCUAGCUGCCACAAGAAAAGUGGUAUCUGAGCAGGGUUUUUGUAAGAUCUAAUUUACAUGUUUGAGAACUGCACUGAAAAUUCAGUGUUCACUCUCUUUGUGCAUCUGGCACAGUGCUUCUGCUGGCUUGGUCAUCUGCCUCAUUCUCAAGAUUUUUUCUAAGAUGUUCCUUCACCUCUGUCAGUUCCCCAAGGAAAGUUAUUUUCAAGUUUUGAUAUUAAGUCCAGUAGAGAUUCCAUACUGGUAAGGAUAUUUUCAAUGUGUCUCAUAACUAAUGGGUGAUUCUUUAUUUAUAUCUUGAUAAAGCCUUAUUUCCUCUGUCUGUGUUAGGAUUCAAAGAAAAAUUAAAAGUCUGUUUCAAUUCUUGAUGUUUAAACAUGGCAUUAGCAAAACUUAUCUUUUUCUCACUACAAGCUCUUUUGUAUAUAGCAUUGAAUGUAUUUAUACUUCCAUUCUAUUGUUUAUUAAUAAAUGCAGAUAAAUAGUGGUAAACUAAACUGGCAUCUAUUGUGAUAAACUGAGACAGUACAAUAGUACUGCAAGCUAACUGUUACCCUUUUCUUCCCAUCUUGGUAUUGCAGUCUAGAAUUACCCUCUGGAAGGAUCCCAGUAAGACAGGUUGGAAUAUAGAAUUAACAGAAGGAAAUGACUUAUCAUUUGCUUUAUGAUGCUACUCUAAAUUCUCUGUCUAUUGACAGUGAGGGUAAAACUGGAUUUUUCUUUCUCAGAUACAUAUAAGGCUAUAACUAAUACAAUGAUUUUCUUAUUCUACAGUAUUUGUACCCUGCUUUCAAGGUCUACUAAGCAACUUUACUUUUUGCUGUUAUGACCAUUUUUAAAAAUUGUAUUUUUGUUAUCUAAAACCUUACAGAGUGAUAUUUGCACCCAUUUAAUUGUGUGACUAGAUGUAUUCAGGCACUAAUUUAAUUUCUAUUUUUCUUGAGGUCUAGCAAAUAGUAAACUCUGAGUUGGUUUUGGAUUUCAUAAGUAUUUGUGUGUGUCCUUACUUUCUUGGAAGCCCAUCAUGGACAGCUUAAAUAUGUGUACCAAAUUAUUUAUACAGAGGACUAUUAGUAUGACUUUGAACUAAUUCCCAUUUUCCUGCUAAACAAAAAGAAUAAUUGGGCAUCUUGAUAAAGUAUUAUUUACCACUGAGGACAAAAUUUUGCCUCUCAGGGGUGAACAAAUCAUUAAGCUGAUUUGAAAAGCAUCUAUUUCACUUGUCAAUCUGGAAUGGGGUAAAUAAAUGAAUGGCCUGUGUAAAUAAAUGAAUGGCCUUUCUAGAAGCAGGCAUAUAUCUCAUGAGUUGUGCCAAAGCUCAUGUGUAUGCUGUGUGAAAGCCAUGUUUAUGGAUGGAUAUAAGAUGAUGGAGCACUAAUAGCUGACUGCAUUGUUGUUAUUUUUUUCAGGGGUUAUAGAUACUAUUUCCAAUAUCUCAGUUUUUCACUGUCUCAGCCUGCCAUGUCAUCUGCAAGAAGUACUGCGGUGAUUUGUCAUUUAAGGCCUGACUCCAUAGAAAAGAUUACAGCCCUUUUUGCUCCUACCAGAUGUUCUGUACAUACUUUUAUGGAAACUAAGGAAGUAAUGUAAGUAAAAAAAGAUAUUGUUAGUCCUUAAACUCCAGAUUAAACCAUUUGCUGCUCUCUCAGUUUGUAGAUCUGAAUGAUCUUUGUGAUGUUACUAAAUUAAUUUUUCUUGUUUCUUGUACAGCUGCCAGUUAAGUUGAACAACCUCAGGUACUAAGCAAAAGAAAUAGCAAAAGAAAUAUUUAAAUGCAGAGUGUCUUCUGUAGUUGGGCACAGCUUGUAUUGUCUGUGAGACUAUGACAUGUUCAAUAAUUUAUACUUAUCUUAAAGUUCUGUUGAUUAGAUUUACUUUGGAUGCAACUUAAUUUGUCACUAAAUUCAAACGUGGGUUGUUGUGAUACCAGAAAGAGGUUUCCACACAAGUUGUUCUAAUGCUUUUUGGUAGUGGUAUUUAUUGCACUGUAUGUGUAUUGCAUUAAAAGCAAAUAGUCUAAUGUCUCUCUGAUAGUUCAAGAAUUCCACUGCAAUAUCCUUUUUUUUUUACUAUACAAAUAUAAUAAUGCCUGGGACCAACUCAUGAACCAGUUUCCUUUAAUCUGUAGGAUGCCCAUAGACAACAUGAACGUUACUUUCGUCCUGUUUUACUGUGUUACCAGCAAUCAUAUAUUAAAAUAUUAGAGCUGGUAGCAGCCAGUAGUUAAUAAUACCUUGAAGAAGGAAGUAGGGAUUUCUUUUUAAAUCUUCUUAUAAGGUGGGCAUCAUAGAGUCCUUUGAAUGGUCAUUGAGUGAUUUUGAUGCAGAUGCCUACCACCACAAGAUGAAAAGGAUGUUGGUGCCAUGGCAAUAUGAUGUGUAGUCAUGCAAAGGGGCCUGCCAUCCUUGUUCAAGGUCACAGGGGGGUGGCAGAAAGCAUUACUGACAUUGCAGCCUGUUAUUAUCUGUAGUGCCUUUGGGAAGAGAUUGACAAGCAGGACGUUGUGAGCUGUGUGAGUUUUUCUGAUUACUUACUGCAGUUUUCAGUCAGGAGAUCGUGUGUUUCUUCUUUUGUGUAAUCUUGGCGCUUGUCUACCCAUCUAUAAGUCAGUGAUAACUUGGUCUUUGAGGUUUCUUCUGCCAUUGCUCUGCUCUGAAAGUUUGUCGUGAAGUUUCCAUGUUAGAUGAUUCCUUCUUUAUUCCUAUUUGCCAAGAGCAUCAUUCUCAUUGGUGUCUAUAUUAUGCUGCUUUUUCUCUCAUUAUGCAAAGUUCCAUGUAUUCCUUUCUCUUCAUAAUGUGAGAAAGGUCAUAGGUACCCACGGGUGUGAUAUCUCUCUAUGACAGUUGAAAAUGUCAAUGUGAAAUAAAGAAUUUGUCUGCAUUAAUAUCCACUGGGGGAAUAAAGCCUGAAACUAGGAAAACUUUUGACUUGUAAUGAAAAUUACACUAUUUAUGUUCAUUUAAACUAAACUUAGCCUUUUGGCACUGAAAACAUCUGCAGCUGGAGUUUUUGCAUGCUAUAAAUUGCUGUUUGUGUUGUCAUUUCAGCCCUUAUGGAUCUAUUUCAAUUUAAUCUCCAGAAAAUAUUUUGCUUUUCAAAUUUAAAGUUUUCAAGCUCACAGUUUGGGUCUUAUAUCCUCAGAAGAUGCCUGGACAAAAGAAAAUAGCAUACCGUUUAAUACUAUUGGUGCUAUUUAGUACUUUGCAUAUUUAUUUGGGUUUUUGUAUUCUAAGAGUGUUUUGAAAACAACAAUUAUUUCUAGAACCCCUUUUUGGGAAAUUGUAUAGUAUUAUUACUAUUAUGUGGAGUACAAAAUUAAAAUAGAAGUGGACAUUUUCUCACAAGAAAAUUGCUAAAGUUCCUAAGGUGGUGAGCUUGGAACUCAUGGAGUUGGUACCCUGAAGUCCCUUUCAAUAGAUUAUUACAUCUAACAGAAUGAAGUUUGAAUAAAAGAAGUUCCUCUGCAUUCUGCAGUGGUAGACUUGUGGCAGAAGUUGUGACUAUUGAUUUGGUGACACUUUGACUUGACAAAGAAGGAGUUGAGAUACAUCUAUAAGCUCAAAUACACACAAUCUGCAAGUAGCUUCAUAUAUAUUUCAAGAGACUGGGAUAGAAGCCAGUUUUAUUCUGGCAGCCAUGUAAGACUGUACAAAGCCUGAGGUAAGUCAUUCAUCUUCACAUCGUGACCAUGUAGGCAUGUUUGCAAAGAGAAGGACUUGUUUACAAGGGGAUGGAUUGUACACAGAGCAGUGACUAACUCCAGCUAGGAUCGAAGGAAUUUCUUAUGUGACUGUGAGAAUCACGUGUGGCACAGAGCUAGUGCUCUAGAGAAAUUAAUCUCCUUGGCAGUUCAUCAUUGCAAAACUGUUUCUGUGCAUUUUUAGAUGGCUGCAUAUUUUAACACUAUUACAGGAAUCUGCUGUAUCAUUAAUCAUAUUUGGAUUUUUUUUUCCUGGAGCCUUGGCUGUUGUAAAGUAGUGAAAAUACCUGGUAAAGCAUGAUCACAUCAUCCAUUACUGUUCACAUAUAAAUGGUUUUGAUAAGAUUUGAGAGAAGAUGAGCCAAAAUCCCAUAUUGUUUUCUGCAAAAGUGAAGCUUACAGGUAACUCUGGAAAAAAAACCCAGGCUUUGUGUAUGAAAAAAAGUGGUCUUUGUCAGCUUUUAAAAACAGGCAUGAAAUUUUGUUAAAUGUUAGUGACAAGCUCCUACCUAAGUCAACAAAGUCGUUUGGUGUAUGAACAAAUUGUUCAGAUUCCUUUAUGUGGAGCAGUGUUUAUCUAAAAUUUGGAUUCCAUGAGCCUGGGACUAAAUGUCAGUGGUAAAGUGGUCUCAUAAUAAAACUUUCUUCUUAGAGAGUUGCAAAAGAUAUUUCUGUUAAUUAUGGCAAGUUCAAUCAAUUAUAGAUGUACAAUAUUUUGAGUAGAUACAUGUUUUUCCAAAAAUGCUUAAAUGAAAUACAAAAAAUAGUAAGUAAUUUUUGCUAUCAUUUCUUGUGUUUAAUUAAGCAGAUUUAUAUUAAAAUCUCUGUCUGCCUCCUAAACCUUGCAUCUCUGGAUUUUCACUUAAGGUAAAAUCUGGCAGAUGAACAGAAACAUUUUUUAUAUUUUUGUUUCAGAGUAAAACUGUAAAAACAUGUAAAGAUGUGGACUAGACGUGAGUAUAAGUAGAAAAAGACAAGGAGGAGAUUGGAGAUGAUCGCUUUCAAAGAUCAAGAGGAUUUCCCUGAAAAACUCUUUACCCAUUUUCUGAGACAAUUUAAAAAUAUAUUAGCAAAAACAAGGGCAAAACUAUCUGAGAGUACAGCCAGUCAUCUGUAUUUGCUACAGUAACAGUGCUGUUAGCAGAUUUUCAGAUAAAUAAUUUCCUGCUUAGUAGUUUGUGGAUUUCUUCUUUUCUUAGUGGUAUUUUCAAAGAUCAAGACAUUACAAGUCUUCUUUUUUUUUAUUUUGCCAUUUGUCUCCCACCUCCCCUCUAGUAAGUUGCAAAUUAAUAGUAUGAACAUAUUCCAUUUGCUCCCUUUUAUAUUGCCAUCAGUAUUUUUGUUUUUUUCCUUUUGCUUUUGUAUCCCGUCUUUGAUUCUCAUUUUCUCCAUCUUGAUAUAGUAGCAUAUAGAAAAGUUAUAUGAAAAAUAUUCUUUCUUAAAAGGUAGCUACUUUAGAACAGUAACUUCCAGCAUGUAAGGCAUUAAAAAAUGCUAUCAGAGACCAACUCUUCCUAUGCUGUAUGAGGAGAGGCUGAGAUCACUUGAUCUGUUCAGCCUGGAGAAGGGGAGACUGAGAGGAGACCUCAUUGAAGUCUUCAGCAUCCUCACAUAGAAAAGCAAAAGAGCAGGCACUGAUCUCUUCUCUGUGGUGACCAGAGACAGGACCCAAGGGAAUCACCUGAAGUUGUGUCAGGGGCAGGUUAGGUUGGAUCUUGGGAAAAGGUUCUUCACCCAGAGGGUGGUUGGGCGCUGGAAGAGCUCCCAGGGAAGUGGUCACAGCACAUAAGUGGCCAUUGCCAGAGUUCAAGAUGCUUGUAGACAAUGUUCUCAGGCUCAUGGUGUCACUCUUGGGGCUGUCCUCUGCAGGGGCAGGAGUUUUACAUGGUGACCCUUGUGGGACCCUUCCAACUCAGCAUAUUCUAUGAUUCUAUGCAGCCAGUCACCUUGAUGCAAAAAUUAGAAUUCAUGAUGGAAUUUAAAACAUUCUCUAUUUCUCUAGAGCUUCUAUCCUGUGAAUAGGAAAAAGGCAAUCCUUUAAUAGUUGAAACAAUAUUGUAGGACUUUUUCUCUAUAUGCUGUACAUAUGAAAUACUUGAAACCACAAGUUUUUGUUAAUGGUUUUUUAAAAACACUCACAGUAAAAGCCAUAAGCUGAGCCUCUUCCAAAAUUUCAGUUGAAAUACUGGUUAAAAAUGGAAUAAAAAUAGGGAAAUGAAAUCAUGCUCCAUGAGGAUGUCUUUUUGCUUUAUGUGCCUCAAAUAUCCAGUCUCAGAGGCAGUUAAAAAGUCAAAGAGUAUGGCUAAUUCCUGGCACUGAUAAAAAGGCUAAGGAAGCAGAUGUUCUGAUGCCAUAUAUCAAAAA
Non-coding RNA from Taeniopygia guttata (zebra finch), 6789 nucleotides. The record is from RefSeq and is a predicted model, not a curated record. Lineage: Eukaryota; Metazoa; Chordata; Aves; Passeriformes; Estrildidae.